GGUACUAUAGUAUAGGGGUUAUCAUUCGGGAUUUUGACUAUUCCGGCAAUUCCCGAGACCCAGGUUCGAAUCCUGGUAGUACCU
This is a non-coding RNA of Macrolepiota fuliginosa MF-IS2, 84 nucleotides long. Lineage: Eukaryota; Fungi; Basidiomycota; Agaricomycetes; Agaricales; Agaricaceae. The record is from the annotation of a GenBank genome assembly.